GAGGAUAUUGCUCAGCAGUAGAGCGCAUGCUUAGCAAGCAUGAGGUCUUGGAUUUAAGCCCCAGUACCUCCA
Molecule: transfer RNA, 72 nt
Filed under: Camelus bactrianus (Bactrian camel)
Lineage: Eukaryota; Metazoa; Chordata; Mammalia; Artiodactyla; Camelidae
Also listed under: 2 other names
Rfam family: tRNA
About the family: Transfer RNA (tRNA) molecules are approximately 80 nucleotides in length. Their secondary structure includes four short double-helical elements and three loops (D, anti-codon, and T loops). Further hydrogen bonds mediate the characteristic L-shaped molecular structure. tRNAs have two regions of fundamental functional importance: the anti-codon, which is responsible for specific mRNA codon recognition, and the 3' end, to which the tRNAs corresponding amino acid is attached (by aminoacyl-tRNA synthetases). tRNAs cope with the degeneracy of the genetic code in two manners: having more than one tRNA (with a specific anti-codon) for a particular amino acid; and 'wobble' base-pairing, i.e. permitting non-standard base-pairing at the 3rd anti-codon position.
Source: Rfam by way of RNAcentral